ACGGGUGAGUAACACGUGGGAAUCUACCCAUCCUUACGGAACAACUCCGGGAAACUGGAGCUAAUACCGUAUACGCCCUUCGGGGGAAAGAUUUAUCGAGGAUGGAUGAGCCCGCGUUGGAUUAGCUAGUUGGUGGGGUAAAGGCCUACCAAGGCGACGAUCCAUAGCUGGUCUGAGAGGAUGAUCAGCCACAUUGGGACUGAGACACGGCCCAAACUCCUACGGGAGGCAGCAGUGGGGAAUAUUGGACAAUGGGCGCAAGCCUGAUCCAGCCAUGCCGCGUGAGUGAUGAAGGCCCUAGGGUUGUAAAGCUCUUUCACCGGAGAAGAUAAUGACGGUAUCCGGAGAAGAAGCCCCGGCUAACUUCGUGCCAGCAGCCGCGGUAAUACGAAGGGGGCUAGCGUUGUUCGGAUUUACUGGGCGUAAAGCGCACGUAGGCGGAUCGAUCAGUCAGGGGUGAAAUCCCAGAGCUCAACUCUGGAACUGCCUUUGAUACUGUCGAUCUGGAGUAUGGAAGAGGUGAGUGGAAUUCCGAGUGUAGAGGUGAAAUUCGUAGA
RNAcentral lists this ribosomal RNA (557 nucleotides) under uncultured bacterium. RNAcentral's name for it is "bacterial SSU rRNA". It matches the Rfam family "Bacterial small subunit ribosomal RNA", at positions 102 to 694 of the family's 1533-position model. The record is from RNAcentral.